Molecule: long non-coding RNA, 998 nt
Filed under: Homo sapiens (human)
Lineage: Eukaryota; Metazoa; Chordata; Mammalia; Primates; Hominidae
Description: HSALNT0394250
Source: RNAcentral
GCCGCCUGGCCUUAUCAGCCAGGUGCGGGACCCCUGGGAUAACACCGGCUGAGGAGACAGUGAGCGCUUCCCAGGCACCGGGCUGGUGGGAGAGGGGCCUGCCCGCCUGCCCGCCUGCCUGCCCACCAGCCUGGCCCCCGAGCCAGCGUCUUGAAUCGAGCAAAGCAGUGGCAAGACAGAAGUGGCGCCUGCUGGAAAGAGACAGAGCGUCUCCUUGAUUUCCUAACAGGCCCAGCCAUAUGCCAGGGGCGGACAGGCCAGCUCAGAACGCCGGGCCUGGCUUGCGAAACAGUCCUUUCCUCCUCUGGGUCUAAGGAUGCAUCCUGCCCUUAUCUGCCUCUGGGUUUUGCUGACAAUUCUCUUGGCUGAGCAUGCCUUUUCUGAUCUUGGCUCCAUUGACCAGAUCCCUUAAGAACAAUGAGGGUGCUUUUCGCUUCCCGGAAGCUGGCAGGGAGUUCCUCUAAAGCGCAGGUUGGAGUGGUCAGAAGGGAGCGAACUGACAGCACGAGGAAGGCUCAGCGCAUGCCAGCUCCACUCACGGGAAAUGACUCACUGCAGCCCUGCUGCUCUCGGGCUCCGGGGGACACAUCCACAUUUCCUGUAUCUCGGCUAGAGCCUUGGGCAGUGUGAGCUGGCAGGGCAGAUCGCUGAAGGCGGCUAGAGAUAGAAAACCACCCAGCUCUGCAUCCUGAGACAAAGAAGCCUUUCCCUGGGCUCAUAUGAUAGAGAUGAAAUUUAGAAGAAAAUAUGUUUUCAUAGAAUAAAUAAUCCAGUGGCAAACCAGUCCAAUCCAAUUCCAAGAUCGCUCAUUGAGACAACACUUACCAUAGGCCUCCCCUCUGCAGCCAGUGCUCCCGAUUGGGAAUGACUGGAGCCUCAGUUCACAACACCCCACGGGGGAAGGGGGUGCUGGUUCCCUUUAUAUAAACCCAACGAAGAAAGACCUGGCUUUGGGGAGCAGAAGUGACUGCUGUUGCACAUCUCUUUGCUGAAGGAUG